This 515-nucleotide long non-coding RNA is filed under the name Gallus gallus (chicken). The record is from RNAcentral. Lineage: Eukaryota; Metazoa; Chordata; Aves; Galliformes; Phasianidae.
GCUGCUUUUGUGGUUGUGUUUGCUGCUGACUUGAGCGGGGUGCUGGGUAAGAAACAGUUAUCUGGGCUGCUGGCUGAGGAGUAGAUAGGCUAAGACUGGUAGGUAGUGCAACAGCUGGCUGUUGCUGUACACUAUAGAGAGUCUGCUGAGGCUGUGAAUAUUGCUGCUGUAAGGCAGCUGCUGCAGCUGCCGCCUGCUGCUGCAAAGCGGCCGUCUGAGUUAGCUGGUAGUUGGUUGGUGUUUGCGUAGUCAGGCCCGCCGCGGCCAGCGCCGUCUGCUGGGUGUAUAUUGUAGGAGAGGCUCCAAGCAGCGACGGCUGCUGCACACCAAGAGCAGCUGGCUGGGACACGGCGGUGGCUGUAAACUGAGUGGCCCACGGAGGGUUCUUCUGUCCUCCGAACUGAGCCAUGGCGAAAGGCAAAGCUCCCGGCGCCUAGCUUCUGGAACUGCAACCUGAGCGCCGCCCGACCGCGGCCAUCGCCGGCCCCUCCGCGCCACCCGCACCUCCGCUCGCC